RNAcentral lists this long non-coding RNA (2083 nucleotides) under Helianthus annuus (common sunflower). Lineage: Eukaryota; Viridiplantae; Streptophyta; Magnoliopsida; Asterales; Asteraceae. The record is from RNAcentral.
UAAAAUUGCCCCUGAGUUCACUGUAUUUUGCGGUUCUACAAUUCUGUUUCUUGACACUUUUAUCACAUUUAAUUCAACCAAAUUUAAUGCGGAAACCGUAGAGCUCUCUAUCAGUUUCAACCAUUUCAUUGCUAUAACCCUAGACGACCAAUCGUUCAAUCACGCUCUUCGAAACAACGAAGAAAUUCCACUGUCACUGACGAUUGUUCUUCCUUCACUCGAUCGAUCAUCCUAUUUUUUCUGCUACCACGAAACAGAUCGGUCCCAGAUGAUGGUGGUCACCAAACUUCGACUUCGUUUCCUGCUAAAAUUGAUGGUUUUGACGGCCUCUGGUUGAUCGAUUUGAGCAGGUGGAGCCAGAAGUUCGAUUGAUUAUUCGUGUUCAUGGGUGGCGGACUGCAUCAGCUUAUGUUGGUUAAUAUCUUAGGUUCAAACAGAAAGAGAAGAGACUAAAACACAACAUCACUGUUUUUAGACUUGGAUUAUCUUCAUGUAUUUUGUACGCUAGACCCUAAAAUCAAUGGUAUAAGUUCUCUAUAGAGAUACGGGUUUAACAAAUCCGAAUGACACAUGGGUGUUGCCAUACCUUCAGUUUAUUGUUGUAGAAAUUCGGUUCCAAUGUAUGUUAAAGUCUCUGCAGUUCACGUCUUCAUCUUUUUUGAUUCGCCUGCAAUUUAAGUACUACUACUGUAUCUUCUUCGGUUGAAGGAUCCAAUGGCCAGAAUUAAAGCGGAAGUUACAGAGUUUUGUUGCUGAUCAAAUCACUGAUUCUGAUACGACGUCAUCAUUUACGACUUGAUCUGCGGUCUAAACUCUACUUUCUGUGUAUGAAUGAAUAAUAAUCUUCGAUUUAUUCGGUUGUUAUUUGCAUAUAUGACUUGUUUAUUUCUUGUUUGACGAUAUCCAGAUGAUUGUUAUUCUUUUUUUAUUAUAUUACGUUUAGUUGUUUAAUAAUUGUUUUUUUUUGUAUUACGUUUAAUAAUUGUUUUUUGUAUUACGUUUGACACGACGAUGGCUAUGGAUUCCGGCAAUGGAAGAUGACAAGACAUCUUCUCGAGUUCUCGGUCCAAUGAGGACAGGGCCGAAUCACAUUGAUAUAAUCAUUGUUACCAACCCGCCCAUUCUACCACUUCUAUUUCCUUUGCAAUUUCCGUGCACGUUUGAGAAUACGUCACUUAUCUACUCAACCAUUGUUAGGUCUUCAACUUGACCCACUCUCAAACACGGAUAAAAUGGAAUCCGUGUAUUCAACAACUAAAUGUGGUCUUCUAGAGGAUUUGAAAAUCCCGACGCAAUGUCUUCUGAUAGAAAGCUGAUGAAUAAUAGCUCCAUGGUAUUCAGAGACACGAGCCUCUGAUCCAACAACCGGGCUUAAUCCUCAAAUGGUAAAUGAUAAUACUGCGUAUUCUUCGGAAGAACAGGAACACCUUGCACGCUUGAAAGCUCAAAAGGAGGAAAUCCAGUAUCUUGGACAACAAAUUACCUUAGCAAGUGUCAGGGAACGGCAAUUAUUGAACGAAAAAUACACGUUGGAAAAGAAGUUUUCUGAGCUACGGCUGGUUUGUCCAACCGUUGCUUCAUCAACAGUGGUUGCUAAAACGGUUGCUAUGGAUUCAAACCGGUUGAAACUGCUUGUUUUGGAAUCUGAUAAGAUGGAAGCCUCGGCCAAACAUUUACCGAUCAAGAAAAGGAGAAUCGUAUUCAUGGAUUCGUCACCGUCGCUUAACAACGCUUCAUCCUCACAAGGGACUGAAAGUGUUGCGCAAGAUGCUAAUGCGAAAGCAGACGUGAAUUGCCUGCCUGCUGCAUCGUUGACGGUUGCUGACUUGCAUCAAAGUGAGAGUAAUGAUAGUAAACUGGAUGUACACAAGUGUGUGACGUAUAGUAGGAAACGUAAUGACCUUGAAGAUAUAAGUGGCACAUCUAUAGCGAGAAUAUGUCUACUAAUGAAACUGCCAUCAAUAUGUUAACGGUUGCUGAAUCCAGGUUCAUAUUUAAAAAAAAAUAUAUUCACUGCCAAUAAGUUUUGAUUCAAACAAGCUGCUGUGUAUACAUGUUAACAGCUGCUGAAUCCAGGUUCACA